Non-coding RNA from Camellia sinensis, 199 nucleotides. The record is from RefSeq and is a predicted model, not a curated record. Lineage: Eukaryota; Viridiplantae; Streptophyta; Magnoliopsida; Ericales; Theaceae.
UGAAUAAGUUCUGAAUUUCAUUUACAAAAAGAUGAACAGCCUUGAAUAUACCAAAGCAAUGGAUUGGUUUGUCAAAUAUCUAAGUAGUUCUUGAAUGAUUAGACUGUAAUAUUGUCAAAUAUUCAGGCAUAUUUAUGCAUGGCAACAAAAUCAUAACGCCUAGUUUUGCUAAGAACUAACAUUACAGAAAAAUAUUAAU